UACAGAGGUGGCAAGCGUUGUUCGGAAUUACUGGGCGUAAAGCGCACGUAGGCGGAUUUGUUAGUCAGGGGUGAAAUCCCGGGGCUCAACCUCGGAACUGCCUUUGAUACUGCAAGUCUCGAGUCCGAUAGAGGUGGGUGGAAUUCCUAGUGUAGAGGUGAAAUUCGUAGAUAUUAGGAAGAACACCGGUGGCGAAGGCGGCCCACUGGAUCGGUACUGACGCUGAGGUGCGAAAGCGUGGGGAGCAAACAGG
This 253-nucleotide ribosomal RNA is filed under the name uncultured bacterium. Its description in RNAcentral is "partial 16S ribosomal RNA". It matches the Rfam family "Bacterial small subunit ribosomal RNA", at positions 524 to 776 of the family's 1533-position model. The record is from RNAcentral.